RNAcentral lists this unclassified non-coding RNA (156 nucleotides) under uncultured Nectriaceae. Its description in RNAcentral is "sequence contains ITS1". The record is from RNAcentral. Lineage: Eukaryota; Fungi; Ascomycota; Sordariomycetes; Hypocreales; Nectriaceae.
CCGAGUUUACAACUCCCAAACCCCUGUGAACCAUACCUCAAGUUGCUUCGGCGGCAGCGCCCCGGCGCCCUCGGGCCCGGGUCAAGGCGCCCGCCGGAGGACCCCAAACCAUUGUGUAUCAAUUGAAUCUUCUGAGUGGCACAAGCAAAUAAAUCA